RNAcentral lists this microRNA precursor (79 nucleotides) under Capitella teleta. Its description in RNAcentral is "microRNA mir-598". Lineage: Eukaryota; Metazoa; Annelida; Polychaeta; Capitellidae. The record is from RNAcentral.
UGAUGAUCAUAUCAUCAUGAUCAUCAUGAUCAUCAUGAUGAUCAUAUCAUCAUGAUCAUCAUGAUGAUCAUGAUUAGCU